RNA transcript from Drosophila kikkawai, 743 nucleotides. RefSeq lists it as uncharacterized. The record is from RefSeq and is a predicted model, not a curated record. NCBI's taxonomy places the organism in Eukaryota, Metazoa, Arthropoda, Insecta, Diptera, Drosophilidae.
UAGGCUGGCCCUUAAAAGUUCACCAGAAUUCUAUCAUAAUAUUCCUUUUGUUAUUCCUUUAAAAAUGUUUAAAAUUAAAACCAAACUUUGCUGGCAAUAUAUAAGUGCAGCUUGGCAAAAGUCUCCCCGACUAUAUAGUGCUUUUUAUUUUCUUGAUUUGGAGAGGGGCUGCCAGCUAAUCGCUUUUUAUGGAGCCUUAGUGAGCUUAAUGAAGAUCUGUUGGACAUAUUAUCUAGUCUACCAAUUGGACACCAGGUCAUUGUUUCCAGAUCCCAAAUGGGUAUAUUUUAUAUUUAAAGAUCAAAAGUACGAACUCGUUUAUCACUACACACACUAUCAAUUCCAUGUGGGUGUAUAUCUUAUGACUCUACUUAAUUCCGUGCUGCUUUUCUUGGGAGUAAAAUGGGCUCAUGUGGUCUUUCUCUAUUAUUGGAUUUACAUUUCCCUCCUCACCUGGACCAUUGGACAUUGCCAUGCGCUGUUAGACAACUUGGACUUUUUUCAAAUAUUUAUAUUUUCAAUACCAACAUUUAUGCUUCAAUAUUAUUUUCUCAUAAUAAUUAUGUCAUUAAUUUGGAAAAUCUGCGAGAAGACGAAUGCUAGUGUCCAGGAAAAAGAAGAACCAGGCUUGCAGCUCGUUGAAUAAUUUGAAUUUUGAAGGUUAAGAAUGGUCUAAUUUAAAACUACGAUAUAAAGACUUCAUAUAUAUAUGCUUUAAUAAAUUAAUUUAAUUAAAGGAACAU